UGUGAAUCUCCUGCUUAAAUGGGCAAGU
RNAcentral lists this non-coding RNA (28 nucleotides) under Rattus norvegicus (Norway rat). The record is from RNAcentral. Lineage: Eukaryota; Metazoa; Chordata; Mammalia; Rodentia; Muridae.